This is a long non-coding RNA of Equus quagga, 743 nucleotides long. RefSeq lists it as uncharacterized. Lineage: Eukaryota; Metazoa; Chordata; Mammalia; Perissodactyla; Equidae. The record is from RefSeq and is a predicted model, not a curated record. The transcript is spliced from 3 exons.
UUAAGUUAGCUGCCGUGUUCCGUGACCCUGGGUGGUGGAUUGUCUUCAUGGACGUGGGGCUCCCCAGCCCCUUCCUCUUCUAGAAGUGGAGAGCCGGUGAAGCUUGUAUCCAGGACCUGAAAAUACAGAAGCAUGGCUGUUGUGUGGUGAAUGGAUGGCAGGGGUCUCAGCUACUGCUACCACCAGGACGGAUGUGGAUCGUUGCUCAAUCGAGGACACCUUUCAUGACUACAGGAGGGGGCUGGUGGGGAUGUGUUGGAUGGAAAGACCAAGUUGGGAAUGACAGGUGUGGCAGCUGUCUCCUCACUGAAGUCUGGAAAAUCAGGGAAUGUUGAAGAAUUAUUAGAAUUUACUCUGGUUUUGUGGUCCAUGGUGGAUGGUACAUGGUGGCGGUUAAUCCCAGACCUGAGAGUCCCCUGCCUGGCGAGAGUCCGGCUCUGCCUCUUACCUGCAGCACGAGCUUUGUGUCUCAGUUGCUGCAUCUGCAAAAUAAUAGCAACUCACUCAUGGGAUUUUGUUUUUAUUGUGGUAAAAUGUACAUGUGAUAAAUUUACUGUCUUACCCUCUUUUAAGUGUAUUGCUUAAUGGUAUUAAAUACAUUUAUAAUGUUGUGCUACUGUCACCACUGCCCAUCUCCAGAACUCUUUUCACCUUGUAAAACUGAAACUCUGUACCCAUUAAACAAUUCCCCCUUCUCCCCUCUCCCCAGCCCCUGGCAACCAUGAUUCUACUUUCUGUCUCUG